This 360-nucleotide ribosomal RNA is filed under the name uncultured bacterium. Its description in RNAcentral is "partial 16S ribosomal RNA". It matches the Rfam family "Bacterial small subunit ribosomal RNA", at positions 338 to 696 of the family's 1533-position model. The record is from RNAcentral.
CCUACGGGUGGCAGCAGUGAGGAAUAUUGGUCAAUGGACGAGAGUCUGAACCAGCCAAGUAGCGUGAAGGAUGACUGCCCUAUGGGUUGUAAACUUCUUUUAUAUGGGAAUAAAAUGUUCCACGUGUGGGAUUUUGUAUGUACCAUAUGAAUAAGGAUCGGCUAACUCCGUGCCAGCAGCCGCGGUAAUACGGAGGAUGCGAGCGUUAUCCGGAUUCAUUGGGUUUAAAGGGUGCGCAGGCGGGCCUUUAAGCCGGCGGUGAAAUCGCGGGGCUCAACCCCGCCGAGCCGUCGGAACGGGGGGCGUUGAGUGCGGGGGAGGCAGGGGGAAGGCGCGGUGUAGAGGGGAAAGGCGUAGAUA